Molecule: long non-coding RNA, 1259 nt
Organism: Mus musculus (house mouse)
Lineage: Eukaryota; Metazoa; Chordata; Mammalia; Rodentia; Muridae
Product: predicted gene, 36371
Exons: 2
Source: RefSeq, a predicted model, not a curated record
GCAGGGGUAUUAAAAUGGCCCCAAAGGUAAAGAGUAAACGGAGGACAGUAAAAAAAAAAAAAAAAAAAAAAAUUAACUAUCCCUUCCUGGCUCAAAGCUAACAAAACUAAAAGGCAAACUGGCAGCAUCAGACACAGCCACGGUAGUUACUGUUCCAUCCCGAGUCCUGGGCCACACAGAGGAAUUCUUAGAAUGCUAAACCAAGUAAUCUGAAGAUACAUAUUUUCUCCAUGGUGAGCCUCAAAGGCUCAGGGGUACACACUCACCUAGUACCCACGAAACCCUAACGGGAACAGCUUUGUGCCACUUUCAGUGACAACUACAAGGAACCAAGGCUCUGGGCACCCCAGGCUUUCUCUUGUCUCUCCAAACUUUAUCUUUUUUUGUUUUUGUUUUUGUUUAAACUCUAGUAAAUGUGCAAUUCUGUUUUGCCCCUCCUAUCUCCUUAUCUCCUUUCCCACUAUGACUCCACCGUGAUGCUCAGGGUGUACUCCUUCUCUAACUCCAGCCAGCUAUCCUCAAGUCACUUUUUGUAUCUGAUUUGUGUGGGAUUAUUUUUUUUUCCAUUUCUGGGGUUUGCAGGCACUGUGUGUGUGUGUGUGUGUGUGUGUGUGUGUCCAUGCAUGUGCAUGUAAGGUCAGAGAACAGCUAUCAGGAGUUGGUUGGUCCUCUUCUAUCAUGUGAGUCUUGGGAGUCUAACUCCGGUUGUCAAGCUUGGCAGCAAGUACACUCUACUACCUGAGCCAUUUUCCUGGCCAUAGCUAUUGAAUCUUGUAACUCUCUGAGUUCUAUGAUCCAUAUGAAUUUUAUGAGCUUGCUGACUCUUCCCGAUUUCAAUCUAAAGCAAAGUUAAAGACUAUUACCCACGCAGCCAAUUCCUAGGCUAUUUCUGUAAUAAGUUACUUCUCCUCUUUGCUGCAGCAGAAUGCCUGACCAGAGCCAAUUAAGGGGAAAGGAUUUACUUGAACGCACAGUUUGAAGAUCCCGUCCAUCAUGGCAUUGCAACCACAGUCAGGAAACAGACGGGUGAAUGCUGGCACUCAGCUCUCCAGAAACCCCAGCCCAUGGAGCAGUGCCACCCAUAGGGUUCACAUCAGAUAUUUUGAUCACAGCAUCAUGAAGGUAACUAAUCUACUGGAAAGGCUCUCCUGUCCCUCACCUGAGCACCCUCUUCAUCACGUGUGUGUGAGAGAGAAAGAGAGAACCAGACACAAACAGACAGUGUGUGCAGGUGUAGGUGUACAUUUAUGGAGGCCAGA